CGAGAAAGGUCGUAAAUUUGAAGACGUAACGUGUCCGAUAUAAAUCGAGGAUUACUACUGCGCGACGUGGAGAAGCGAGACUCAUUGCGAUACGAAGGCGAGGUGCGGAAGAGAUGUGCGCUACUAUUAAUUUGGUCACGAACGAAGAUUAAACAUGUAAUCCCGCUGAUGUAAUGACUUAAUAUCCGCUUUUACUGCAACGAAGACUUCAUUCAGAAUAUUCGAAACACGACAGUCUCUUCUCUCGCGAUGAGAAGAAGAAUACGAGACGACAGAAGGUUACGUUUACGCGAGAGAGAGAGAGAGAGAGAAACUUUGCGCGUGUGUGAAGCCUAAAAUUGUCAGAGCUCGAACAAUGCGUGUUUACUCUGUGUCGCGCGUCAUUCUCCACGUAUACAGUGUUUGCGCUUGGGUUUUCCGCGUAAAUAUCCGCGAAGAUUAAAUAAGACACUUAGAACAGAUUGAGCGUAAUUAGAAUCUUCGCGCCACGACGGCGGUGCACAAGCAAUAUCUCAAACUAACGCUUACGUUUCGUGCGAUAUUCUAAGCGCACUUUGUUAUGCAAUUGACUCUCUCUCUCUCUCUCUCUCUCUCGCAAUGACUUAACUAACCGUCCGAGUUCAGAGAUGCAUCGUACACAGAGAGAUUCAUCCAAUUUCAACGCUCGAAAUGACAAUGCACAUUUUCCCCAGCGGCGCAGAUCGCCGCUUUCGUGAUAUUUACGACGAUUCGGUGAAGAGAGAGAGAGAGAAAAAGAGAGAGGUGCGCCACACAUAUACACGUCAGAGAAUGAUAAGAUAAAUUGUACGUCGAUGGGACGAUAAGAACGCCAUGAGGCGGAAUAGAAAAUUAAAUCUCGCUGAAUGUGCGACGAUUUUUUUGCGACGAGCACGUGACGCGAAUCUUCCCAACAAAUUUAUGUAAAAAACGAGAUAAAAAACACACGGGAGGGAAAUGUGAAAUCGAAGCGGAAGAAAGAAACGACGUUUCGGAUUAUUUGCGUGGGAUAUAAUAUCACGAUAAUACCUCGGGAUUGUAAAGUCAGUCGCGAAAGGAUUUAACAGAUGGCUCUAUAAUCCUAAGAAUAUAACUUGCGACAGGUGGUCGAUUAACAGACGCGCGAAUUACACGCGACGCGAGAGAGUCGCGACUAUUUAUCAUUUGUGCAUGCGGCAUCACGACUCGCCGUGUGUUUCUCUCAAUCAUCGCCCGAUCAAUUGUCAUAUCUCUCAAAGUAGACGCCGCGAAUUGUCGAAUCACUUAUCGAUCACGAGAGUCAACAAUUUUGAGAAAUCAUAACGCAUAUUGACACCAAAACACGCCGAGGUUCCUCCAUUUCUCAUUGAAUCAAUGUAAAAACAUUGUUGUCGUGCAACAUUCAAUAUCUUAUCGCUGGAUUACAAAUAUAUAUAUAUCGUCUUGUUCUUCUCAAGCAUGAGAUCACAUUUUUUUAA
Molecule: long non-coding RNA, 1454 nt
Organism: Pseudomyrmex gracilis
Lineage: Eukaryota; Metazoa; Arthropoda; Insecta; Hymenoptera; Formicidae
Exons: 3
Source: RefSeq, a predicted model, not a curated record